GUUGGGAGUGGUGGCGCAUGCCUGUAAUCCCAGUGGCUCAGGAGGCUGAGACAGGAGGACCACCAGUUCAAAGCCAGCCUCAGCAAAAGCGAGGCACUAAGCAACUCAGUGAGACCCUGUCUCUA
This 125-nucleotide small RNA is filed under the name Marmota monax (woodchuck). Lineage: Eukaryota; Metazoa; Chordata; Mammalia; Rodentia; Sciuridae. The record is from RNAcentral.